Molecule: transfer RNA, 66 nt
Filed under: Pelecotoma fennica
Lineage: Eukaryota; Metazoa; Arthropoda; Insecta; Coleoptera; Ripiphoridae
Description: tRNA-Ser
Source: RNAcentral
AACUAAUGAACUUGAAUAAGUAUAUAUUUUGAAAAUAUAAAAAAAGAAUAAAAUUUCUAUUAGUUU